Molecule: ribosomal RNA, 432 nt
Filed under: uncultured bacterium
Lineage: Bacteria
Description: partial 16S ribosomal RNA
Rfam family: Bacterial small subunit ribosomal RNA
Source: RNAcentral
CCUACGGGAGGCAGCAGUGGGGAAUUUUGGACAAUGGGGGAAACCCUGAUCCAGCCAUCCCGCGUGUGCGAUGAAGGCCUUCGGGUUGUAAAGCACUUUUGUCAGGGAAGCGGUACCUGAAGAAUAAGCACCGGCUAACUACGUGCCAGCAGCCGCGGUAAUACGUAGGGUGCAAGCGUUAAUCGGAAUUACUGGGCGUAAAGCGUGCGCAGGCGGUUUGGAAAGAAAGAUGUGAAAUCCCAGGGCUCAACCUUGGAACGGCAUUUUUAACUACCAGACUAGAGUGUGUCAGAGGGAGGUGGAAUUCCGCGUGUAGCAGUGAAAUGCGUAGAUAUGCGGAGGAACACCGAUGGCGAAGGCAGCCUCCUGGGAUAAACUGACGCUCAUGCACGAAAGCGUGGGGAGCAAACAGGAUUAGAUACCCUUGUAGUC